UUACGGUCAUGUCACAUUGAAACACCGGUUCUCAUAUGAUCACCAAAGUUAAGCAACAUUGAUCUUCGUUGGUACCUAGAUGGGUGACCAUUUGGGGAAUACCAGGUGCUGUAAG
Non-coding RNA from Acanthosepion pharaonis, 115 nucleotides. The record is from the annotation of a GenBank genome assembly. Lineage: Eukaryota; Metazoa; Mollusca; Cephalopoda; Sepiida; Sepiidae.